AUCAGAAAAUAUUGAUAGAUGAGACAUACAUCACAAAAAUCCUUGUAGUUGCAAUAAACAACUUGCCAAUAUAUGCAAACUAUUUUCCCCUCCAUUCUCUUGAAUUAAGGGAGUAUUUAAGGGAGGAUUGAUUCUCCUAUGAAGCAACCAUUUGGAUAGAGGACUGGGUGAAUCAAUUAGCCACACCACUGUUCUAAAUACUCAGCUUUAACAUUCUUGGCCAUGUCCAGUUCAUUCUCUGACCACAAAAGUUCAGCUUGGUUCUUUGCCUGAAUUUUCUUCUAUGUAAAGUCAGACUUCCUGUAUCAUGCCAAUUUUUUGCAUUGGGUUUUUUUUUUUCUUUUUUUUUUGGAGACAGAGUCUCAC
This 366-nucleotide long non-coding RNA is filed under the name Homo sapiens (human). RNAcentral's name for it is "non-protein coding lnc-ZNF592-3:1". Lineage: Eukaryota; Metazoa; Chordata; Mammalia; Primates; Hominidae. The record is from RNAcentral.